GGAGGGAUGGCCGAGUGGUUUAAGGCGGCGGUCUUGAAAACCGCUUGGCGCAAGCCACGUGGGUUCGAAUCCUACUCCCUCCGCCA
RNAcentral lists this transfer RNA (86 nucleotides) under Candidatus Eiseniibacteriota bacterium. Its description in RNAcentral is "tRNA-Ser". It matches the Rfam family "tRNA". Rfam says of the family: Transfer RNA (tRNA) molecules are approximately 80 nucleotides in length. Their secondary structure includes four short double-helical elements and three loops (D, anti-codon, and T loops). Further hydrogen bonds mediate the characteristic L-shaped molecular structure. tRNAs have two regions of fundamental functional importance: the anti-codon, which is responsible for specific mRNA codon recognition, and the 3' end, to which the tRNAs corresponding amino acid is attached (by aminoacyl-tRNA synthetases). tRNAs cope with the degeneracy of the genetic code in two manners: having more than one tRNA (with a specific anti-codon) for a particular amino acid; and 'wobble' base-pairing, i.e. permitting non-standard base-pairing at the 3rd anti-codon position. Lineage: Bacteria; Candidatus Eiseniibacteriota. The record is from RNAcentral.